AGAUGCUGAGGCGUGGUAUGUUGGUCACUUUCCUUGAAGUAGAUUUCGCCGCCUUACAGUGCACUAGGCUUGGAUGGCGUUCUACUCCUGAGAUACAACAGCCUCUCGUUCCUUCAACCUGAUGAUUUGCACAGAUCAAAGAAGGCUUCGAACCCAGAAUCAAUAUGCAGCAAGCCCGUUUAAAAAGAAUUUGGAAGAAAUAUUUUAACUGGUAGGAAGAGAGUAGAGAAAGGAAAAGAAUUUGGAAU
Molecule: long non-coding RNA, 248 nt
Filed under: Phoenix dactylifera (date palm)
Lineage: Eukaryota; Viridiplantae; Streptophyta; Magnoliopsida; Arecales; Arecaceae
Description: long non-coding RNA (PDAC_LNC012756)
Source: RNAcentral